GACAGAGGGUGCAAACGUUGUUCGGAAUUACUGGGCGUAAAGCGCGUGUAGGCGGCUAUGCAAGUCGGAUGUGAAAGCCCUCGGCUCAACCGGGGAAGUGCACCCGAAACUGCAAAGCUAGAGUCUCGGAGAGGAUCGUGGAAUUCUCGGUGUAGAGGUGAAAUUCGUAGAUAUCGAGAGGAACACCGGUGGCGAAGGCGGCGAUCUGGACGGAUGACUGACGCUGAGACGCGAAAGCGUGGGGAGCAAACAGGAUUAAGAUACCCCGGAGUAAGUCCGAUGACCAAGUCCCUACUGCU
This 299-nucleotide ribosomal RNA is filed under the name uncultured bacterium. Its description in RNAcentral is "partial 16S ribosomal RNA". It matches the Rfam family "Bacterial small subunit ribosomal RNA", at positions 524 to 817 of the family's 1533-position model. The record is from RNAcentral.